Molecule: ribosomal RNA, 253 nt
Filed under: uncultured bacterium
Lineage: Bacteria
Description: partial 16S ribosomal RNA
Rfam family: Bacterial small subunit ribosomal RNA
Source: RNAcentral
UACGUAGGGUGCAAGCGUUAAUCGGAAUUACUGGGCGUAAAGCGUGCGCAGGCGGUUUUGUAAGUCAGAUGUGAAAUCCCCGGGCUUAACCUGGGAACUGCGUUUGAAACUACAAGGCUAGAGUGUGACAGAGGGGGGUGGAAUUCCACGUGUAGCAGUGAAAUGCGUAGAGAUGUGGAGGAACACCGAUGGCGAAGGCAGCCCCCUGGGUUAACACUGACGCUCAGGCAUGAAAGCGUGGGGAGCAAACAGG